UGCCAGCGACGCUAAGGCAUCGCGGGUCUUGGCCGGUUCGCGGUCGUGCCGAAGGUCUGGGUGGGCGCUCUCGCAUCCUGGACUGCCCAGGCCCUGGGCCACCCGCCUCCCCAGUCUUGGCCACUCGGCAGGAGCCCGUCCUGGUCCUGGCCCGCCAUCCUCUUGGCCACCUGGGCACCUAGGCAGGUGCGGCCUGGCCCGGCCUUGACCCAGACCCACCUCUCCGCUGCACUCCCCGCCGUCGCCGAGCCCGGCCUGCCCAAAACCACGCGGAGACACCGGUGACACCAAAAGGCAACUCUCUGCGGCCCCGCGCCUCCAUCCAGGGCCCUCGGCCCUUGGCGCUCGACCCCACGGAGCCCAGGAAGGGAAGGGCCCUGAGCAUUCAGAGGAAACAGCUCAGGGCUGGCUGCAGGAGACCAGCUUCCGAGAUCAGACGAGAUCCAGCGCAUUCAGGUUGGCAUGGCGAUAGAGGUUGUUGCUUGCCGCCCCAAGACCUCGAGCCCGGCCUCCUGGGCGCCGGAGACACCGGCGCCUGCAGCGCACAUACUAGCGGGGAUACACACUGGAUGAUAACUAAUAAUAACGUUUCAUGAUAACAUACAUUUGUGUGUUACUCAAGUGAUGCCCAGGAUGACAGCACAGAAUAUCUUUUUCUGAGGAUAUACACUUGGAUGCUAUUACCAAAAUUUCCACCGGAUGGCCUAAGAAAAUGCCUUUUUCUGAAUUGUACUCUAAUGUUAUUCCCAACAUGCACAGUACAUGGUGGCAGAAAAUGAAUUUUCAUGAUGCUCAACAUUCCGAUGUUAUUCCUAAAAUGCCCACCAGAUGGCGGCAGAAAAUAAAUU
Pteropus alecto (black flying fox) is the source of this 848-nucleotide long non-coding RNA. RefSeq lists it as uncharacterized. The record is from RefSeq and is a predicted model, not a curated record. NCBI's taxonomy places the organism in Eukaryota, Metazoa, Chordata, Mammalia, Chiroptera, Pteropodidae. The transcript is spliced from 3 exons.